Molecule: ribosomal RNA, 369 nt
Filed under: uncultured bacterium
Lineage: Bacteria
Description: bacterial SSU rRNA
Rfam family: Bacterial small subunit ribosomal RNA
Source: RNAcentral
GUUAUGUAAAGCUCUAUCAGCAGGGAAGAUAGUGACGGUACCUGACUAAGAAGCUCCGGCUAAAUACGUGCCAGCAGCCGCGGUAAUACGUAUGGAGCAAGCGUUAUCCGGAUUUACUGGGUGUAAAGGGAGUGUAGGUGGCCAUGCAAGUCAGAAGUGAAAAUCCGGGGCUCAACCCCGGAACUGCUUUUGAAACUGUAAGGCUAGAGUGCAGGAGGGGUGAGUGGAAUUCCUAGUGUAGCGGUGAAAUGCGUAGAUAUUAGGAGGAACACCAGUGGCGAAGGCGGCUCACUGGACUGUAACUGACACUGAGGCUCGAAAGCGUGGGGAGCAAACAGGAUUAGAUACCCUGGUAGUCCACGCCGUAAA